Molecule: ribosomal RNA, 497 nt
Filed under: uncultured bacterium
Lineage: Bacteria
Description: partial 16S ribosomal RNA
Rfam family: Bacterial small subunit ribosomal RNA
Source: RNAcentral
GAUGAACGCUGGCGGCGUGCCUAAUACAUGCAAGUCGAGCGAACAGAUGAGGAGCUUGCUCCUCUGACGUUAGCGGCGGACGGGUGAGUAACACGUGGAUAACCUACCUAUAAGACUGGGAUAACUUCGGGAAACCGGAGCUAAUACCGUAUAAUAUAUUGAACCGCAUGGUUCAAUAGUGAAAGACGGUUUUGCUGUACCUUAUAGAUGGAUCCGCGCCGCAUUAGCUAGUUGGUAAGGUAACGGCUUACCAAGGCAACGAUGCGUAGCCGACCUGAGAGGGUGAUCGGCCACACUGGAACUGAGACACGGUCCAGACUCCUACGGGAGGCAGCAGUAGGGAAUCUUCCGCAAUGGGCGAAAGCCUGACGGAGCAACGCCGCGUGAGUGAUGAAGGUCUUCGGAUCGUAAAACUCUGUUAUUAGGGAAGAACAAAUGUGUAAGUAACUAUGCACGUCUUGACGGUACCUAAUCAGAAAGCCACGGCUAACUACGUG